Molecule: ribosomal RNA, 379 nt
Filed under: uncultured eukaryote
Lineage: Eukaryota
Description: SSU rRNA
Rfam family: Eukaryotic small subunit ribosomal RNA
Source: RNAcentral
AGCUCCAAUAGCGUAUAUUAAAGUUGUUGCAGUUAAAAAGCUCGUAGUUGGAUUUCUGGCAGGAGCACGGGUCGGCCCUCACGGGUUGUACUGUUGUUGCGUCCUGCCGUUUCGGAGGGAAUGGUCUCGCUAUUAGGUUAGUGGGGUCGGGAACUCUGUCGUUUACUGUGAAAAAUUAGAGUGUUCAAAGCAGGCCUUCGCUGUGAAUACAUUAGCAUGGAAUAAUAAGAUAGGACUAUGGUGCUAUUUUGUUGGUUUGCGUACUAUGGUAAUGAUUAAUAGGGAUAGUUGGGGGUAUUCAUAUUCAAUUGUCAGAGGUGAAAUUCUUGGAUUUAUGGAAGAUGAACUACUGCGAAAGCAUUUACCAAGGAUGUUUUCA